This 743-nucleotide ribosomal RNA is filed under the name uncultured bacterium. RNAcentral describes it as "bacterial SSU rRNA". It matches the Rfam family "Bacterial small subunit ribosomal RNA", at positions 8 to 796 of the family's 1533-position model. The record is from RNAcentral.
AGAGUUUGAUCAUGGCUCAGAGCGAACGCUGGCGGCAGGCUUAACACAUGCAAGUCGAGCGGGCGUAGCAAUACGUCAGCGGCAGACGGGUGAGUAACGCGUGGGAACGUACCUUUUGGUUCGGAACAACACAGGGAAACUUGUGCUAAUACCGGAUAAGCCCUUACGGGGAAAGAUUUAUCGCCGAAAGAUCGGCCCGCGUCUGAUUAGCUAGUUGGUGAGGUAAUGGCUCACCAAGGCGACGAUCAGUAGCUGGUCUGAGAGGAUGAUCAGCCACAUUGGGACUGAGACACGGCCCAAACUCCUACGGGAGGCAGCAGUGGGGAAUAUUGGACAAUGGGCGCAAGCCUGAUCCAGCCAUGCCGCGUGAGUGAUGAAGGCCCUAGGGUUGUAAAGCUCUUUUGUGCGGGAAGAUAAUGACGGUACCGCAAGAAUAAGCCCCGGCUAACUUCGUGCCAGCAGCCGCGGUAAUACGAAGGGGGCUAGCGUUGCUCGGAAUCACUGGGCGUAAGGGUGCGUAGGCGGGUCUUUAAGUCAGGGGUGAAAUCCUGGAGCUCAACUCCAGAACUGCCUUUGAUACUGAAGAUCUUGAGUUCGGGAGAGGUGAGUGGAACUGCGAGUGUAGAGGUGAAAUUCGUAGAUAUUCGCAAGAACACCAGUGGCGAAGGCGGCUCACUGGCCCGAUACUGACGCUGAGGCACGAAAGCGUGGGGAGCAAACAGGAUUAGAUACCCUAGUAGUCC